UAAGACGAGCCACCCAAACGUUAUUCGGAAUCACUGGGCUUAAAGCGUGCGUAGGCGGCCUGCAAAGUUGGGUGUGAAAUCCCUCGGCCUAACCGAGGAAUUGCGCCCAAAACUAGUGGGCUAGAGGGAGAUAGAGGUAAGCGGAACUGAUGGUGGAGCGGUGAAAUGUGUUGAUAUCAUCAGGAACACCGGUGGCGAAAGCGGCUUACUGGGUCUUUUCUGACGCUGAGGCACGAAAGCUAGGGUAGCGAACGGGAUUAGAUACCCCGGUAGUCCUAGCCGUAAACGAUGAGCACUAGGUCGAGGAACUUCCACAGUUUCCCGGCCGUAGCGAAAGUGUUAAGUGCUCCGCCUGGGGAGUAUGGUCGCAAGGCUG
This 376-nucleotide ribosomal RNA is filed under the name uncultured bacterium. Its description in RNAcentral is "bacterial SSU rRNA". It matches the Rfam family "Bacterial small subunit ribosomal RNA", at positions 521 to 896 of the family's 1533-position model. The record is from RNAcentral.